GUGGGGAAUUUUGGACAAUGGGCGAAAGCCUGAUCCAGCAAUGCCGCGUGCAGGAUGAAGGCCCUCGGGUUGUAAACUGCUUUUGUACGAAACGAAAAGCCUGGGGCUAAUAUCCCCGGGUCAUGACGGUACCGUAAGAAUAAGCACCGGCUAACUACGUGCCAGCAGCCGCGGUAAUACGUAGGGUGCAAGCGUUAAUCGGAAUUACUGGGCGUAAAGCGUGCGCAGGCGGUGUUUUAAGACAGUGGUGAAAUCCCCGGGCUCAACCUGGGAACUGCCGUUGUGACUGCAAGGCUAGAGUGCGGCAGAGGGGGAUGGAAUUCCGCGUGUAGCAGUGAAAUGCGUAGAUAUGCGGAGGAACACCGAUGGCGAAGGCAAUCCCCUGGGCCUGCACUGACGCUCAUGCACGAAAGCGUGGGGAGCAAACAGGAUUAGAUACCCGUGUAGUCC
This 450-nucleotide ribosomal RNA is filed under the name uncultured bacterium. RNAcentral's name for it is "partial 16S ribosomal RNA". It matches the Rfam family "Bacterial small subunit ribosomal RNA", at positions 354 to 796 of the family's 1533-position model. The record is from RNAcentral.